GAUGAACGCUGGCGGCGUGCCUAAUACAUGCAAGUCGAGCGAACAGACGAGGAGCUUGCUCCUCUGACGUUAGCGGCGGACGGGUGAGUAACACGUGGAUAACCUACCUAUAAGACUGGGAUAACUUCGGGAAACCGGAGCUAAUACCGGAUAAUAUAUUGAACCGCAUGGUUCAAUAGUGAAAGACGGUUUUGCUGUCACUUAUAGAUGGAUCCGCGCCGCAUUAGCUAGUUGGUAAGGUAACGGCUUACCAAGGCAACGAUGCGUAGCCGACCUGAGAGGGUGAUCGGUCACACUGGAACUGAGACACGGUCCAGACUCCUACGGGAGGCAGCAGUAGGGAAUCUUCCGCAAUGGGCGAAAGCCUGACGGAGCAACGCCGCGUGAGUGAUGAAGGUCUUCGGAUCGUAAAACUCUGUUAUUAGGGAAGAACAAAUGUGUAAGUAACUAUGCACGUCUUGACGGUACCUGAUCAGGAAGCCACGGCUAACUACGUG
Molecule: ribosomal RNA, 497 nt
Filed under: uncultured bacterium
Lineage: Bacteria
Description: partial 16S ribosomal RNA
Rfam family: Bacterial small subunit ribosomal RNA
Source: RNAcentral